AAGCGGUGGAUCAUGUUGUUUUAAUUCGAUGAUACGCGAAGAACCUUACCAGGUUCUUGACACUCCCCGCGAUGCUUUUAGAGAUAAAGCGGAGGUAUUCGGGGAGACAGGUGGUGCAUGGUUGUCGUCAGCUCGUGUCGUGAGAUGUUGGGUUAAGUCCCGCAACGAGCGCAACCCUAUUGCUAGUUACCAUCAUUAAGUUGGGGACUCUAGCGAGACUGCCAGUGAUAAACUGGAGGAAGGUGGGGAUGACGUCAAAUCAUCAUGCCCCUUAUGACCUGGGCUACAAACGUGAUACAAUGGCUGGAACAAAGGGAUGCGAAGCAGUGAUGUGGAGCGAAACCCAUAAAAACAGUCUCAGUUCGGAUUGAAGUCUGCAACUCGACUUCAUGAAGUCGGAAUCGCUAGUAAUCGCGGAUCAGAACGCCGCGGUGAAUACGUUCUCGGGGUUU
This 452-nucleotide ribosomal RNA is filed under the name uncultured Acholeplasma sp. RNAcentral describes it as "bacterial SSU rRNA". It matches the Rfam family "Bacterial small subunit ribosomal RNA", at positions 927 to 1382 of the family's 1533-position model. Lineage: Bacteria; Bacillati; Mycoplasmatota; Mollicutes; Acholeplasmatales; Acholeplasmataceae. The record is from RNAcentral.